Molecule: ribosomal RNA, 377 nt
Filed under: uncultured bacterium
Lineage: Bacteria
Description: bacterial SSU rRNA
Rfam family: Bacterial small subunit ribosomal RNA
Source: RNAcentral
GUACUUUCAGUCGUGAGGAAGGCGGCGUCAUUAUAGCGGCGUUGUUUGACGUUAGCGACAGAAGAAAGCACCGGCUAACUCCGUGCCAGCAGCCGCGGUAAUACGGAGGGUGCGAGCGUUAAUCGGAAUUACUGGGCGUAAAGCGCAUGCAGGUGGUUUGUUAAGUCAGAUGUGAAAGACCCGGGGCGUCAACCUCGGAAUUGCAUUUGAAACUAGGCAGACUAGAGUACUGUAGAGGGGGGUAGGAAUUUCAGGUGUAGCGGUGAAAUAGCGUAGAGAUCUGAAGGAAUACCGGUGGCGAAGGCGGCCCCCUCGGACAGAUACUGACACUCAGAUGCGAAAGCGUGGGGAGCAAACAGGAUUAGAUACCCUGGUAG